GAUGAACGCUAGCUACAGGCUUAACACAUGCAAGUCGAGGGACCGGCGCACGGGUGAGUAACACGUCUCCACCCUUCCCUUUACUCGGGGCUAGCCUUUCGAAAGAAAGAUUAAUACCCGAUAUAAAGGAUGGGGAUGCGUUCCAUUAGGUUGUUGGUGAGGUAACGGCCCACCAAGCCUUCGAUGGAUAGGGGUUCUGAGAGGAAGGUCCCCCACAUUGGAACUGAGACCCGGUCCAAACCCGUACGGGAGGCAGCAGUGAUGAAGAUUGGUCGAUGGGCGGUAGUCUGAACCAGCCAAGUAGCGUGAAGGAUGAAUGCUUAUGGGUCGUAAACUUCUUUUAUAUAAGAAUAUGUAUUAUAUGAAUAAGGAUCGGCUAACUCCGUGCCAGCAGCCGCGGUAAUUC
This 406-nucleotide ribosomal RNA is filed under the name uncultured bacterium. RNAcentral's name for it is "partial 16S ribosomal RNA". It matches the Rfam family "Bacterial small subunit ribosomal RNA", at positions 28 to 526 of the family's 1533-position model. The record is from RNAcentral.